GACGAGCGCUGGCGGCGUGCUUAACACAUGCAAGUCGAACGCUGAACCCGCUUCGGUGGGGGAUGAGUGGCGAACGGGUGAGUAACACGUGGGCAACCUGCCCCCGGCUCUGGGAUAACUCCAAGAAAUUGGGGCUAAUACCGGAUGUGACCGCUGGCCGCAUGGUCUGGUGGUGGAAAGGGUUUCCGGCUGGGGAUGGGCCCGCGGCCUAUCAGCUUGUUGGUGGGGUAGUGGCCUACCAAGGCGACGACGGGUAGCCGGCCUGAGAGGGUGACCGGCCACACUGGGACUGAGACACGGCCCAGACUCCUACGGGAGGCAGCAGUGGGGAAUAUUGCGCAAUGGGCGGAAGCCUGACGCAGCGACGCCGCGUGGGGGAUGACGGCCUUCGGGUUGUAAACCUCUUUCAGCAGGGACGAAGCGCAAGUGACGGUACCUGCAGAAGAAGCACCGGCCAACUACGUG
This 465-nucleotide ribosomal RNA is filed under the name uncultured bacterium. Its description in RNAcentral is "partial 16S ribosomal RNA". It matches the Rfam family "Bacterial small subunit ribosomal RNA", at positions 28 to 507 of the family's 1533-position model. The record is from RNAcentral.